RNAcentral lists this ribosomal RNA (1504 nucleotides) under Nitrososphaerota archaeon. RNAcentral describes it as "bacterial SSU rRNA". It matches the Rfam family "Archaeal small subunit ribosomal RNA". RNAcentral also lists the same sequence under 2 other names. Lineage: Archaea; Thermoproteati; Nitrososphaerota. The record is from RNAcentral.
ACUCCGGUUGAUCCUGCCGGACCCGACCGCUAUCGGGGUGGGGCUAAGCCAUGCGAGUCGUGCGCCCCAGGCCAUGGUGGGGCGCGGCGCACGGCUCAGUAACACGUGGCCAACCUACCCUCGGGACGGGGAUAACCCCGGGAAACUGGGGCUAAUACCCGAUAGGCGAUGGCUCCUGGAAUGGGCCAUCGCCUAAAGGGACCUGAGGCCAUGCUCCUCAGGUCCGCCCGAGGAUGGGGCUGCGGCCCAUCAGGUAGUUGGCGGGGUAACGGCCCGCCAAGCCGAUAACGGGUACGGGCCGUGAGAGCGGGAGCCCGGAGAUGGGCCCUGAGACAAGGGCCCAGGCCCUACGGGGCGCAGCAGGCGCGAAACCUCCGCUAUGCGGGAAACCGCGACGGGGUCACCCCGAGUGCCACCCGAAGAGGGUGGCUUUUCCCCAGUGUAACAAGCUGGGGGCAAUAAGCGGGGGGCAAGUCUGGUGUCAGCCGCCGCGGUAAUACCAGCCCCGCGAGUGGUCGGGACGCUUAUUGGGCUUAAAGCGUCCGUAGCCGGUCCAGUAAGUCCCCCCUUAAAUCCCACGGCCCAACCGUGGGGCUGGGGGGGAUACUGCUGGGCUAGGGGGCGGGAGAGGCCGAGGGUACUCCCGGGGUAGGGGCGAAAUCCUAUAAUCCCGGGAGGACCACCAGUGGCGAAGGCGCUCGGCCAGAACGCGCCCGACGGUGAGGGACGAAAGCUGGGGGAGCAAAGGGGAUUAGAUACCCCCGUAGUCCCAGCUGUAAACGAUGCGGGCUAGGUGUUGGGCGGACUUCGAGUCCGCCCAGUGCCGCAGGGAAACCAUUAAGCCCGCCGCCUGGGGAGUACGGCCGCAAGGCUGAAACUUAAAGGAAUUGGCGGGGGAGCACCACAAGGGGUGAAUGCUGCGGUUUAAUUGGAGUCAACGCCGGGAACCUUACCGGGGGCGACAGCAGGAUGACGGCCAGGCUGACGACCUUGCCAGACGCGCUGAGAGGAGGUACAUCGCCGUCGCCAGUUCGUGCCGUGAGGUGUCCGGUUAAGUUCGGCAACGAACGAGACCCCCACCCCCAGUUGCUACCGCAUCCCUGCGGGGAUGCGGGCACUCUGGGGGGACUGCCGGCGCUGAGCCGGAGGAAGGAGGGGGCCACGGCAGGUCAGCAUGCCCCGAAACCCCCGGGCUACACGCGGCAUGCAAUGGUGGGGACAAUGGGUUCCGACCCCGAAAGGGGGAGGUAAUCCCAUAAACCCCACCUCAGUUGGGAUUGAGGGCUGCAACUCGCCCUCACGAACAUGGAAUCCCUAGUAACCGCGCGUCACCAUCGCGCGGUGAAUACGUCCCUGCUCCUUGCACACACCGCCCGUCGCUCCACCCGAGUCGAGCUUGAGUGAGACUCGGCUCCGUAAGGGGUCGGGUCGAACUCAAGCUCGGCGAGGGGGGAGAAGUCGUAACAAGGUGGCCGUAGGGGAACCUGCGGCCGGAUCACCUCCU